UGUGAUGGGUAGGGGAGCGUCGUGUGCCGGGUGAAGCAGCAGCGGAAGCUAGUUGUGGACGGUUCACGAGUGAGAAUGCAGGCAUGAGUAGCGAUACACACGUGAGAAACGUGUGCGCCGAUUGACUAAGGGUUCCUGGGUCAAGCUGAUCUGCCCAGGGUAAGUCGGGACCUAAGGCGAGGCCGACAGGCGUAGUCGAUGGACAACCGGUUGAUAUUCCGGUACCCGCUUUGAAACGCCCAAUAUCGAAUCAGGCGAUGCUAAGUCCGUGAAGCCGUUCCGGACCCUUCGGGGAAUGGAAAGUGGUGGAGCCGACGAACCAGACUUGUAGUAGGUAAGCGAUGGGGUGACGCAGGAAGGUAGUCCAGCCCGGGCGGUGGUUGUCCCGGGGUAAGGGUGUAGGCCGAGGGGUAGGCAAAUCCGUCCCUCAUAUAAGGCUGAGACCUGAUGCCGAGCCGAUUGUGGUGAAGUGGAUGAUCCUAUGCUGUCGAGAAAAGCCUCUAGCGAGUUUCAUGGCGGCCCGUACCCUAAACCGACUCAGGUGGUCAGGUAGAGAAUACCGAGGCGUUCGGGUGAACUAUGGUUAAGGAACUCGGCAAAAUGCCCCCGUAACUUCGGGAGAAGGGGGGCCAUCACUGGUGAUCGGAUUUACUCCGUGAGCUGGGGGUGGCCGCAGAGACCAGCGAGAAGCGACUGUUUACUAAAAACACAGGUCCGUGCGAAGCCGUAAGGCGAUGUAUACGGACUGACGCCUGCCCGGUGCUGGAACGUUAAGGGGACCGGUUAGUGCACUUUCGGGUGUGCGAAGCUGAGAACUUAAGCGCCAGUAAACGGCGGUGGUAACUAUAACCAUCCUAAGGUAGCGAAAUUCCUUGUCGGGUAAGUUCCGACCUGCACGAAUGGCGUAACGACUUCUCGACUGUCUCAACCAUAGGCCCGGUGAAAUUGCACUACGAGUAAAGAUGCUCGUUUCGCGCAGCAGGACGGAAAGACCCCGGGACCUUUACUACAGUUUGAUAUUGGUGUUCGGUUCGGCUUGUGUAGGAUAGGUGGGAGACUUUGAAGCCGUGACGCCAGUCAUGGUGGAGUCGCCGUUGAAAUACCACUCUGGUCGUGCUGGAUGUCUAACCUCGGUCCGUGAUCCGGAUCAGGGACAGUGUCUGAUGGGUAGUUUAACUGGGGCGGUUGCCUCCCAAAGGGUAACGGAGGCGCCCAAAGGUUCCCUCAGCCUGGUUGGCAAUCAGGUGUUGAGUGUAAGUGCACAAGGGAGCUUGACUGUGAGACCGACGGGUCGAGCAGGGACGAAAGUCGGGACUAGUGAUCCGGCGGUGGCUUGUGGAAGCGCCGUCGCUCAACGGAUAAAAGGUACCCCGGGGAUAACAGGCUGAUCUUCCCCAAGAGUCCAUAUCGACGGGAUGGUUUGGCACCUCGAUGUCGGCUCGUCGCAUCCUGGGGCUGGAGUCGGUCCCAAGGGUUGGGCUGUUCGCCCAUUAAAGCGGUACGCGAGCUGGGUUUAGAACGUCGUGAGACAGUUCGGUCCCUAUCCGCUGUGCGCGUAGGAAUAUUGAGAAGGGCUGUCCCUAGUACGAGAGGACCGGGACGGACGAACCUCUGGUGUGCCAGUUGUCCUGCCAAGGGCAUGGCUGGUUGGCUACGUUCGGGAGGGAUAACCGCUGAAAGCAUCUAAGCGGGAAGCCUGCUUCAAGAUGAGUAUUCCCACCUCCUUGAGAGGGUAAGGCUCCCAGUAGACGACUGGGUUGAUAGGCCAGAUGUGGAAGCCCGGUAACGGGUGGAGCUGACUGGUACUAAUAGGCCGAGGGCUUGUCCUCAGUUG
Molecule: ribosomal RNA, 1834 nt
Filed under: Streptomyces roseus
Lineage: Bacteria; Bacillati; Actinomycetota; Actinomycetes; Kitasatosporales; Streptomycetaceae
Description: bacterial LSU rRNA
Rfam family: Bacterial large subunit ribosomal RNA
Source: RNAcentral